CUUUAAUAACAUACAGGAGGCUCUUGCAGGGUCUAGCAAGCUAUUAACAUAGCAGGGGAUAAGAAAAUCUUAAUUAAACAGAACUUGCAAUAAAGAAAGCCUAAAUAGGGCUCUCUUUACACGAAGUGUUUAUGGAAGGCUGUGCAAGUCACAUGCAGGGAGGUGUGACUAGGGUUCACAAACAAAGGGAUUUAACUCCUAAAUGGCAGAGGAUUGAGCAAUGAGGCUGCAGGGGCAUGUUCUAUACACCAAAACUGCUUCAUUAAGCUAAAGUUGUUCAGGUGACUAUAGU
Pelobates cultripes (western spadefoot toad) is the source of this 292-nucleotide non-coding RNA. Lineage: Eukaryota; Metazoa; Chordata; Amphibia; Anura; Pelobatidae. The record is from the annotation of a GenBank genome assembly.